GACGAACGCUGGCGGCGUGCCUAAUACAUGCAAGUAGAACGCACAGUUUAUACCGUAGCUUGCUACACCAUAGACUGUGAGUUGCGAACGGGUGAGUAACGCGUAGGUAACCUGCCUGGUAGCGGGGGAUAACUAUUGGAAACGAUAGCUAAUACCGCAUAAUAUUGAUUAUUGCAUGAUAAUUGAUUGAAAGAUGCUAUUGCAUCACUACCAGAUGGACCUGCGUUGUAUUAGCUAGUAGGUGAGGUAACGGCUCACCUAGGCGACGAUACAUAGCCGACCGGGGAGGGUGAUCGGCCACACUGGGACUGAGACACGGCCCAGACUCCUACGGGAGGCAGCAGUAGGGAAUCUUAGGCAAUGGACGAAAGUCUGACCGAGCAACGCCGCGUGAGUGAAGAAGGUUUUCGGAUCGUAAAGCUCUGUUGUAAGAGAAGAACGGGUGUGAGAGUGGAAAGUUCACACUGUGACGGUAUCUUACCAGAAAGGGACGGCUAACUACGUG
Molecule: ribosomal RNA, 505 nt
Filed under: uncultured bacterium
Lineage: Bacteria
Description: partial 16S ribosomal RNA
Rfam family: Bacterial small subunit ribosomal RNA
Source: RNAcentral